CCAGUGCUGUCGAUCAUGUCGUUCGAGUUAAAGAAUCCGAAUCUGGAAAUAUACUGUUCGAUCCAGCUGAAACAACUAAUUCCAGCCUUGUUCAUGAAGGAACAGUGCUGGAGAAGAGGCCUUCCUCAAGAACAGCACCUGGUGAAUCAGAUAAGCAAGAAGAAUUGGGGAUGAGAUCGAGAGACUCGUCGAAGGAUGAAAUCAAUGUGCGGGACAAUUAUACUGCAAUAUCUGAAGACUGGAGAGAAGCAGAGAGAAACCAGUCGACGGCGGUGCAUCCAACCAUUGCUGUUGCUACAGCUGAGCCGGAGGUCCCAUGGCAAGAGGAGUCCGAUUCACCGGAGACGACGAACGACGUAGAGAGUAUCAAGUGACGAUGUGUGAUAGGCUUGUUGUAGCAGUAGUAGUAGUAUGAGAUUAUAAUUUGAUCAUCCAUCACAUGCCUUGAGAUCUUCUGAUCCACAGUGCAGACUUCUGCAUAGAAAUCGACAUGCAAUUAUUUACCUGCUUACGAGAGUCGUGCUUUGGUUGAGCAGCCACAGACAUCAGAUACGAUGGAUGACCG
RNAcentral lists this long non-coding RNA (565 nucleotides) under Musa acuminata (dwarf banana). RNAcentral's name for it is "long non-coding RNA (MACU_LNC001634)". The record is from RNAcentral. Lineage: Eukaryota; Viridiplantae; Streptophyta; Magnoliopsida; Zingiberales; Musaceae.